AACGAACGCUGGCGGCAGGCCUAACACAUGCAAGUCGAGCGAGAUCUUCGGGUCUAGCGGCGGACGGGUGAGUAACGCGUGGGAAUAUGCCCUUCUCUGCGGAAUAGCCUCGGGAAACUGAGCGUAAUACCGCAUACGCCCUUUGGGGGAAAGAUUUAUCGGAGAAGGAUUAGCCCGCGUUGGAUUAGGUAGUUGGUGGGGUAACGGCCUACCAAGCCGACGAUCCAUAGCUGGUUUGAGAGGAUGAUCAGCCACACUGGGACUGAGACACGGCCCAGACUCCUACGGGAGGCAGGAGGGGGGAAUCUUAGACAAGGGGGGCAACCCUGAUCUAGCCAUGCCGGGUGAGUGAUGAAGGCCUUAGGGUUGUAAAGCUCUUUCAGCUGGGAAGAUAAGGACGGUACCAGGAGAAGAAGCCCCGGCUAACUCCGU
Molecule: ribosomal RNA, 432 nt
Filed under: uncultured bacterium
Lineage: Bacteria
Description: partial 16S ribosomal RNA
Rfam family: Bacterial small subunit ribosomal RNA
Source: RNAcentral